GGUUGAAGUUCAGGUAACACUGAAUGGAGGACCGAACCGACUUACGUUGAAAAGUGAGCGGAUGAACUGAGGGUAGCGGAGAAAUUCCAAUCGAACCUGGAGAUAGCUGGUUCUCUCCGAAAUAGCUUUAGGGCUAGCCUCAAGUGAUGAUUAUUGGAGGUAGAGCACUGUUUGGACGAGGGGCCCCUCUCGGGUUACCGAAUUCAGACAAACUCCGAAUGCCAAUUAAUUUAACUUGGGAGUCAGAACAUGGGUGAUAAGGUCCGUGUUCGAAAGGGAAACAGCCCAGACCACCAGCUAAGGUCCCAAAAUAUAUGUUAAGUGGAAAAGGAUGUGGCGUUGCCCAGACAACUAGGAUGUUGGCUUAGAAGCAGCCAUCAUUUAAAGAGUGCGUAAUAGCUCACUAGUCGAGUGACACUGCGCCGAAAAUGUACCGGGGCUAAACAUAUUACCGAAGCUGUGGAUUGUCCUUUGGACAAUGGUAGGAGAGCGUUCUAAGGGCGUUGAAGCAUGAUCGUAAGGACAUGUGGAGCGCUUAGAAGUGAGAAUGCCGGUGUGAGUAGCGAAAGACGGGUGAGAAUCCCGUCCACCGAUUGACUAAGGUUUCCAGAGGAAGGCUCGUCCGCUCUGGGUUAGUCGGGUCCUAAGCUGAGGCCGACAGGCGUAGGCGAUGGAUAACAGGUUGAUAUUCCUGUACCACCUAUAAUCGUUUUAAUCGAUGGGGGGACGCAGUAGGAUAGGCGAAGCGUGCGAUUGGAUUGCACGUCUAAGCAGUAAGGCUGAGUAUUAGGCAAAUCCGGUACUCGUUAAGGCUGAGCUGUGAUGGGG
This 828-nucleotide ribosomal RNA is filed under the name Staphylococcus aureus. RNAcentral's name for it is "partial 23S ribosomal RNA". It matches the Rfam family "Bacterial large subunit ribosomal RNA", at positions 743 to 1571 of the family's 2925-position model. Lineage: Bacteria; Bacillati; Bacillota; Bacilli; Caryophanales; Staphylococcaceae. The record is from RNAcentral.